AUGUCUCUUAGCAUCCUGGGUUCUAGAAGCCAGAUCCAUCUUCCUUUCCCUUCACAUCCACUUCCACGCCCAGACCCAUCCCCGUCUGCCUUCCUCUGCAACCCUCUGGGCAGUGACGUCAUUUCUCACGUGCUUUUUCUUUCCUCGUCGGGAAGAACAGAAGAAGAUCAUGAUCAUGAUCUGCUGUGUUAUCCUUGCGAUCAUCUUAGCUUCUACUAUUGGGGGCAUAUUUGCCUGAAAAGAACCAAAAAGCCCUCACAGAUGGACCCUCACCUGCUUUCUCAGUCCUUCUUCCACCUCUGUGGGGCCGCUGCAGACUCCUCCCGAGUUCUUUCCAUUGUGAAACCUCGUAUGACACAGCACCUCAACCAUCUCCCCAUUCAAACUGACGCAAAGGGAGACUUAGGAGAAUAUGGCCUUGGGCGGCAGGCAGGGCGACUGGGCAGGGAGUACGGCACUUUGCGGUGGGUUAGGAAGGCGGUUCGAGGAGGAGAACGCAUAGGAAGGAGACCGGUUAGGAAAUGGACUCGGAGCUGGAGCCCCCUGACGUCAGCUGUUGGGGGCAGGGCUUCACCGCGGGGGGUCACUAGAUCUGGGCGCUGCUGCUUCUGCACUUCCCGUUCCGGGUCCCACCUUUGACCCACCCUGCGUCCCCGUCCUUCUUCAGAGCCUCCGUCCCUGAGGCUAUUGUCCAGUGAUAGGCCCUGAGCAUGGCUCCUCACUGCUGUGUCCACAGUGCUUAGCACAGCGCCUGCCACUUACAGCUGCUGUCUGUCCACUUUACUAUGCUGAUUUCUGCUAUGGAUGAAUCCUUGGAUUUGAUUCUUCAACACUUUAAGGCAUCAGUGGGAAAUGAUCUAUAUCACAAGUCUACAAAAAUGCCCCAGAGUGGGUUGAUCCACUUACACAAAAGUAUAGGAGCGCCCCCUCACCCCCCAUUUCUACAACAUACACCUUAAAGUCCUUUAUCUACGGGAGGUGGGGAUAGGAGAGUUGUCAAUAGGCUGUUACUUUGCGGAGAUGGCUGGCCCCAGGAUUGUGGUUCUGUAAUUAAAUGUGGACCCUGAAAGAAACAGGUUUAUGCUGUGACUGAAUGCCCCACAGUCAUCACCACCACUGCUCCGUGAGCCCUAACAAAGAGAUGACGAUGUUAGGUCAGAAGGCCAAAUGAACCCGUCGCUAUUCCUUCUGAUUCAUGCUGCCAGCUGACACGGGCAGCACUGGCCAGCAACGUGUGUACAACAAACGGGUCCAAACACUGUCCUCUGUUCACGGUUCAGGUGUGUUCCUGUGCAGCUCAGUGAUUAGUUACUGUACAAGAGAUUCACUAAAAAUACAUUAAAAAUCACAGUAGGCGAUUCUUGAGGACCACUCAACUGCUUAGACGAGUCUGUACUUUGGAAAGUAAAUUAUUCUGCCAUCAAGUCUAACUUUUUAAGAAAGUGGGGUGAAAAAAUGGACACUUUAGUCACUGUGCUGUUUUCUGCCCACUUUCAAAGCAAACGGUUUAAUAUCUCUAUCAAUCUGUAUCUCCUUUGGUUUGCAUACAGGAUAACCACCACUGCUAGCUAGCUCUGAAAAACAGAUGAACUUUGUUCAAGGCAAACACGGAGCUGGGCCCAUGGGCCUUUGAAUGACCCAGGCCCUCGCUCAUUCAGCAGUAGGGAUCUACCGGGCGGCCCCUGCACUGUGCUAGGACCUGUAGGGACACAGACGCAGAGCCAAACACCCUCCAUCCGCAGAGGGUUUCCCGCCUAGCAAAGACCACAGCGUUCAGCUUUUCUAUCAGUUCCUUUCGCUAAAAGGCAAGGGCAUGUCUCUUGCCACAUUGUCCAACAUCCCCCCUUCCGUGACUGAGAAGAUGGGUAGCUGGGCAUAAAUAAAUGUUGUCAAUUACUCUGUGCA
Long non-coding RNA from Bos mutus (wild yak), 1905 nucleotides. NCBI's taxonomy places the organism in Eukaryota, Metazoa, Chordata, Mammalia, Artiodactyla, Bovidae. The record is from Ensembl.